AAAAAAGAUAAUUUAUUGAUCGUAACUGCUUGAAAUUCAAUCAAAAGAACACACGAGACGAUGACUUUCAAACUGAACUUGUUAUUCAUACUUGUCGUCUUUAACAUAUUUAACUUGGGAUAUCUAUCUAGUCCUUCGCUUACUGAUGAGCGACCUGCAUAUUGUAACAUUUCUUCUGACUCUGGUCCUUGUUUCACGGAUGAGAUAAUAAGUAAAAACAUAUUUGAAUGGAGAUAUUUUUUUUCGACAAUUCAGAAUAAA
Molecule: non-coding RNA, 261 nt
Organism: Linepithema humile (Argentine ant)
Lineage: Eukaryota; Metazoa; Arthropoda; Insecta; Hymenoptera; Formicidae
Source: RefSeq, a predicted model, not a curated record